CAAUAUCAACAGAUGAAAUCUAAAAGACAGCCAAAGAGAAAGCUGCUCUUCCAGAUGGAUCUGCUUUAUAGAUACUUCCCAGACUCUUCAUCUUCAGUGGAAUGUUUUCACUGUAUUGAGAUCUUGUGGUACAGCAGUAACAACAAUGGCUUUACAAUGACUUGUGAUGAUAGGGCUUUGUCAGCCUUAUGGACUAUUUCAUUUGAAAAUGCUGGAGUUCAUUUUGAGCAUUAAGCAAAUAAUCCGUCAGGUUACCUUUGUGACCUCGUGGAUAAAGUGUUUGAGAAGCUUCACUGCAGCUCAAGGUUUGUUUCUUGCAAGAGCAACUCUAAGAUCUCCUGACUCCUACUUUUAGUCACAAGAAAAACUUCAUGUGUGAACCUCCCAGCUGAGAUUUUGGAGCAAGCAGCAGACACAAAUCUCUAGUUCACAUCCCUUUUUAACUGUUUGUGAGCUUUCUAAGUUAUGGGCAAAAGCAUCCA
Long non-coding RNA from Hirundo rustica (Barn swallow), 482 nucleotides. RefSeq lists it as uncharacterized. The record is from RefSeq and is a predicted model, not a curated record. NCBI's taxonomy places the organism in Eukaryota, Metazoa, Chordata, Aves, Passeriformes, Hirundinidae. The transcript is spliced from 3 exons.